This 73-nucleotide transfer RNA is filed under the name Myxococcales bacterium. Its description in RNAcentral is "tRNA-Asp". It matches the Rfam family "tRNA". Rfam says of the family: Transfer RNA (tRNA) molecules are approximately 80 nucleotides in length. Their secondary structure includes four short double-helical elements and three loops (D, anti-codon, and T loops). Further hydrogen bonds mediate the characteristic L-shaped molecular structure. tRNAs have two regions of fundamental functional importance: the anti-codon, which is responsible for specific mRNA codon recognition, and the 3' end, to which the tRNAs corresponding amino acid is attached (by aminoacyl-tRNA synthetases). tRNAs cope with the degeneracy of the genetic code in two manners: having more than one tRNA (with a specific anti-codon) for a particular amino acid; and 'wobble' base-pairing, i.e. permitting non-standard base-pairing at the 3rd anti-codon position. The record is from RNAcentral. Lineage: Bacteria; Pseudomonadati; Myxococcota; Myxococcia; Myxococcales.
GGGGCGCUGGCGCAGUUGGUAGCGCAGCCGGUUGUCAGCCGGAAGGUCGCGGGUUCGAAUCCCGUGCGUCCCG